This 452-nucleotide ribosomal RNA is filed under the name uncultured bacterium. RNAcentral's name for it is "SSU rRNA". It matches the Rfam family "Bacterial small subunit ribosomal RNA", at positions 26 to 518 of the family's 1533-position model. The record is from RNAcentral.
AGAGCGAACGCUGGCGGCAUGCUUAACACAUGCAAGUCGCACGGUCAGGUUUCGGCCUGGUAGUGGCGGACGGGUGAGUAACGCGUAGGUAUCUGUCCGAAGGUGGGGGAUAACGGCGGGAAACUGCUGCUAAUACCGCAUAUGACCUGAGGGUCAAAGGUCGCAAGACCGCCUGUGGAGGAGCCUGCGUACGAUUAGCUUGUUGGUGGGGUAAAGGCCUACCAAGGCGACGAUCGUUAGCUGGUCUGAGAGGAUGAUCAGCCACAUUGGGACUGAGACACGGCCCAAACUCCUACGGGAGGCAGCAGUGGGGAAUAUUGGACAAUGGGGGCAACCCUGAUCCAGCAAUGCCGCGUGUGUGAAGAAGGUCUUCGGAUUGUAAAGCACUUUCGACGGGACGAUGAUGACGGUACCCGUAUAAGAGCCCCGGCUAACUUCGUGCCAGCAGCCGC